Molecule: ribosomal RNA, 1225 nt
Filed under: metagenome
Description: SSU rRNA
Rfam family: Eukaryotic small subunit ribosomal RNA
Source: RNAcentral
GCUGAGAAACGGCUACCACUUCUACGGAAGGCAGCAGGCGCGAAAAUUAUCCAAUCCUGAUUCAGGGAGGUGGUGAAACAAAUAAUGAACUAGGAUUUAUCCUGGGGUCACAAUGGGCUUGAUUUGCAAACUUUAUUUAGCGAGGAACAAUUGGAGGGCAAGUCUGGUGCCAGCAGCCGCGGUAAUUCCAGCUCCAAUAGUGUAUAUUAAUGUUCCUGCAGUUAUUCGAUGCUCGUAGUUGGAUUUCUGGAGGCUGAGAUCGGAGGGUAGCCAAGGUUACCGCUGAACUCUUCCUUCAUCCACCUGUUAACGUUGUCCGGGAUUCGUUUCUCGGCUUCGGGCUCAGGCAUAUACUUUUACCCUUUUUCUAUAUUUAUUGUUUUGAGUAAAUUAUAGUGUUUCAGGCAGGCGUGCGCCGGAAUACUUUAGCAUGGAAUAAUCGAAUUGGACCGUGUAUUCUUAUUGAAUUCUUCCUUAUUGUUGGUUCAAGGACACGGAAAUGGUUAAUAGGGAUAGUGUUUUUAUUAUCAGGGGAGGCAUUAGUAUUUAAUUUCCAGAGGUGAAAUUCUUUGAAAUAUUAAAGACUAACUUAUGCGAAAGCAUUUAUUAUUGCCAAUAAUGUUUUCAUUAAUCAUUGAACGAAAGUUAGGGGAUCAAAGACGAUCAGAUACCGUCCUAGUCUUAACCAUAAACGUUGCCGACUAGGGAUCGGAGGGCGUGCACAUUCCGCCUUCGGCACCUUACGAGAAAUCAAAGUCUUUUGGGUUCUGGGGGUAGUAUGGUCGCAAGGCUGAAACUUAAAGGAAUUGACGGAAGGGCACCACCAGGAGUGGAGCUUGCGGCUCAAUUUGACUCAACACGGGAAAUCUUACCAGGUCCAGACAUAGCGAGGAUUGACAGAUUGAUAGCUCUUUCUUGAUUCUAUGGGUAUUUUAUAUAUAUUUUGGUGGUGCAUGGCCGUUCUUAGUUGGUGGAGUGAUUUGUCUGGUUAAUUCCGUUAAACGAACGAGACCUCAGCCUGCUAAAUAGUUACCUGUCUUUUCAUUUUUUAUAAUUACGAGACUUGAUAACUUCUUAGAGGGACGUUGUGUGCAACCACAAGGAAGUUGAGGCAAUAACAGGUCUGUGAUGCCCUUAGAUGUCCUGGGCCGCACGCGUGCUACACUGAUACGUACAACAAGGGGGGUAUAUGCAUUCAUGCAUCGACGCUGCUCCGAGAUAGACA